AUUUAGAGCUUAUACCUCCCCGUAUAUAUGUAUGUAGUGGAGUUUGCAACUGAAAAGAAACAUUGUGUUCCCAACAAGCUACGAGAAGGACGGCUUUGACCCACAAUUAUCUCUCACAACUGAGAAUGUGGGGAGAUGUUCGUUCAUCUAGAACAAAAGGAACGGGUUGUAGGAUAAACAAUUUCUCCGGUUUCUAAGUCUGCUUCCUAGAGCUGGUUUGAAGUUCCUGCAGUUUUCACUGU
Vicugna pacos (alpaca) is the source of this 242-nucleotide non-coding RNA. The record is from RefSeq and is a predicted model, not a curated record. NCBI's taxonomy places the organism in Eukaryota, Metazoa, Chordata, Mammalia, Artiodactyla, Camelidae.